RNAcentral lists this long non-coding RNA (11142 nucleotides) under Homo sapiens (human). Its description in RNAcentral is "non-protein coding lnc-VIRMA-1:3". The stretch from base 9620 to 9767 matches the Rfam family "Metazoan signal recognition particle RNA". Lineage: Eukaryota; Metazoa; Chordata; Mammalia; Primates; Hominidae. The record is from RNAcentral.
AGACGAGGCCAGACGGGGAAAGGGCUCAGAGAGGUAAAGGGCUCGGAGUCGCUGGGGGGAGGGGUUCCCACUGGAGGUAACUGAGAGGUGCAGGGGGGCUCGGAGAAUACCGGCUGCAGGGAACGAAGCCGAAGGUUCUGAACGGUCAAGCGAAAAGGCCAGGUGCAGGGAGGCGAAAGGAGGCCAGAGUGCAAACAGCAGGAGAAAUCCUGCGAGCCCCCCCUUCUCCGGGCCGGAGCCCGGGUGCACGCUCGUCCCAAACCCGCCGCGCUGCCCACCUUCCGGAGAGGAACCCCGCGCGCGGCAGAGCCGGACGCCAGGGGCUGGACGCCCAACCACCUAGUCACUCCCCAGGACGCAGUUAUCGCGCGCAAAGCAGCUGGGGGACCCCGCAAGGAAACUCAGGCACAAUGGAGCCCGCUUCUUUUUCUGUCAACUCUGAAUGCUAUGUCUGGUUUGGUCCUGGCUGCUAGUUCGAAGCUGGAACAUCCUCCAGAGCUGGGGCCCAUUUCCUUUUAUUUGCCUUGGGCCCCAAAUGAAAAGCAUCUAUCCGCAUGCCUAAUAAAAAUUUUCUUAAAUCGGGCCACGCAGGCUUUUUCCCAGGUUCUGCGCCCUGACCCCAUUCCCUCUGCUCAUGCUUUUGGCAUUGUAUUGGAGUGUGUUGACUUGACCAAGCUCCCAAACAACCUCCCUGCUCCACCUCAGCUUGGUCUGCCCAGAGGCUCGUACCCCAACCAUCACCCCCCAGCCACCAGAUCGGUGGCAGUAUGUUGUUGGGUCUUGUUGACAUUUUAGAGAGAAAAGCGCCAGAGGUGAAGUUUUCUCGGGUUUUAUAUCUCAAAGCGAUUUGUUCUUGGGAACAGAAUUCUGUCUGAAGUAUUAAUAAUUCGGCUCUAGGUGUCCAGCCCCGUUCAUAUUCAUGAUGUGAAACGGGCAACCAUGCACCUAUCCCUGCAGAACCCACUCCGGGUACAAAUCCGGUAACCUUUCAAGACGCGUGUCAAGGGAAGCUGGAGACCUGGCUUUCCCAGUGGGGGUUCAGCUCCCGGGAGGGGGGAGAGGAGCCCGAGGCCCGCGCCGUCUCGUUUCCUGGUAGGAGAAGGUGCAGGCGGAGGCGGGGCCUCCCGUGAUACAGGUGGCAGCUCUCGUCCCCUGAGAGCGGGCGAAGGCCAGGGUCCCACACUCGCAGCGCUGCGACGGCGCUCGGGACCUCCCUCGUCCACUGCUUGAGUUCCAGAGGUGGGUGCUUCCCUGUCCUGAACUUCAGAGUGCGGAGUCAUAAAUGGGUUCCGGCUGGCUUACUGCAGUAGCCUCGCUCCUCCCCAGCCCCGGUAACUCCGAGCUACCCGUCCAGGCCCUCGGGCGUCGCGGGGGCAGGGACUGGGCGCGGAACGAGGCAGGGAGGGACCUGGAAAAACCACCCAGAUUGCAUUGCAGUGGGCGAGGCCGCCUGGAGGAGCCGGUUCCCCCUAACCACCUCCCCGUGGGGCUCUCGGUGCGCGGUUCCCAGGUGCUCAGCUCUGCUGGGCCCAGGAGGUGCCGCCUCACAGGGACGCGGAACCCCGUGCGUGGCCCCCGCCGGGUGGAACAGAUAGCGCGGGGCGGUCCGGAGGCUCGUCGCCAAGCAGCGCCAGAGACCCAAGUUGAGGAACAGCCUAUAAAAUAACUGGCCUGUACUCUUACAUACAUGAAAGCCAUCAAAGACAAAGACUGAAGAAGAACUUUUGCAGAUUAAAGGACUUUAAGAGACAUGAUCCUGAACCAGAAAAAGUAAAAAAUAAAAAAAUAAAAAGAUCUGUAGAUUAGAUAAUAGUUUUAUAUCCAUGUUAAUUUCCCAUUUGUUGUAAUAUUACUGUGGUUGGGCAAGAGAGUGUCUUUGUUGGUGGAAGUAUCUACUGAAGUAUUUAGGGGUAAAGAGGAAUCAUGUCUGUAACUUAUGCUCAAAAGGUUCAGACAAAAUAUAUGUAAAGGGAAUGAUAAAGCAAACGCAAUAAAAUGUUAACAUUGGGGAAUCUGUAUAAGGGAAUUAUUAACUUUUCUGUAAGUCUAAAAUUAUUUCAAAUUAAAAAUAAUUUUUUUAAGCCUCAGAGGACAUUUUGCUGCCACCGCCUUGCUGGUGGUUGACAAGGCUCUGUGUCAUGACUUUUUUUUCUGCUAAUCUAACUACUUGUACUGUAAAAUAAACCCAUUUUCUUUGUUUUUUCCUUAGUGAAUGAAAGAGGGUGAAAGAAAAGGUCACCAUUUUCUGUAUAGUAAUCCGUUCAUAUACUUUAAGGUCGUUCUUAACUCACCUUUCCUAGACUAAAUAACUGCAAACUCUUUAAAGUUUUCAUUGUGAAUCUUACUUUCCUGCUCUUUAAUUAUCUUCAUUACCCUCCUUUGACCCUUUUUCUCAUCACUUUUAGAGAGCAGCUCUUGAACUGGACAGAAUACAAAUGUGUCUGCUGGGGCUUCACUGUUGACACAGUGGUACCUAUAUGUCAUAAUCUUUUUUUAUUUUUUUGAGAUUCAAUUAUUUUUAUUCCAGAGAUAUAAGUAAAAAUGUAAGGCCGGGCAUGGUGGCUCACACCUGUAAUCCCAGCACUUUGGGAGGCCAAGGCGGGCAGAUCACCUGAGGUCAAGAGUUUGAGACCAGCCUGGCCAACAUGGUGAAACCUCGUCUCUACUAAAAAUACAAAAAAAAUCAGCUGGGCAUGGUGGUGCACUCCUGUAGUCCCAGCUACUCGGGGAGGCUGAGGCAGGAGAAUCACUUGAACCCAGGAAGCAGAGGUUGCAGUGAGCCAAGAUUGUGCCACUGCACUCCAGCCUGGGCAACAAAGGGAGACUCCAUCUCCAAAAAAAAAAAGGUAGGCCGGGUGUGGUGGCUCACGCCUGUAAUCCCAACACUUUGGGAGGCCAAGGUGGUUGGAUCACGAGGUCAAGAGAUCGAAACCAUCCUGGCCAACGUGGUGAAACCCCGUCUCUACUAAAAACACAAAAAAUAGCCGGGCAUGGUGGCGCACACCUGUAGUCCCAGCUACUCGGGUGGCUGAGGCAGGAAAAUUGCUUGAAUCCGGGAGGCAGAGGUUGCAGUGAGCCAAGAUGGCGCCACUGCACUCCAGCCUGGCGACAGGCGGAGACUCCAUCUCAAAAAAAGAAAAAAAAAGUGAACAGAUAUAUUGACAUAAAAUUCAUAAAACAUAUGGGUAUAUUAAAAACUGGAAACUCAGGUUGCCUUUGAGGAUAAGAACUGAGGGCCUAUGUGUCAAGAAUACUUUGCAGUUAGCCACCGCGCUCAGCCCUCUAGAUCUUUGUUAGUGUUUUAAUUGCACAUACUUAGUUAUUCUCUUGUACUUAUAAGAAAAUCUAAGCUGGGCGUGGUGGCUCACGCCUGUAAUCCUAGCACUUUGGGACACUGAGGUGGGCAGAUCACUUGAGUUCAGGAGUUGGAGACCAGCCUGGCCAACAUGGUGAAACCCCGUCUUUACUAAAACACAAAAAUUAGACGGGCAUGGUUGCAGACACCUGUAAUUCCAGCUACUCAGGAGGCUGAGGCAUGAGAAUCACUUGAACCUGGGAGGCAGAGGUUGCAGCGAGUUGAGAUGGGGCCACUGCACUCCAGCCUGGGCAACAGAGCAAGACUUCAUCUCAAAAAACAAAACAAAAUCUUCUACAGUGAAUCAAAGUAUGAAAAUAUUCUCAAAUUAUAUAGCGGCAAUGCUUGCACAAAUCUUUUUAUGUACUAAAAACCACUGAAUUAUAUACUUUAAAAGGGUGAAUAUUAUGGUAUGUGAGAAUUAUAUUUCAAUUUUUAAAAAAGCAAAUCAAAGUAGAAACCUGUGUUCUGAGGCUACCAAAAGCCACUGAUACUCUUAGUUAUUCAUACUAGAUGCAUUUGUAAAAGACACCACAUUUUAUACUCCCUGGACAUGUCUAGCCUCUGAAGUGGAGAGGCAAGGAGAAGUGAUGAUCAAGAUAAAUAUAUAAAUUAUAAUUAUCCAUUACUCUGUGCAUUACACAUUUAAAGAAAUUACUGGCCUGAACCUUUAUUAUAGCGAUUAUUACAGAUCAUGAGGAAAAGUAUGGGUUUAAUAGUUGGCUCUGCCAUUUGCUACCUUGUGGCCUUGGGCAUGUUCCUUAACCUCACAAGAACUCAGUUUUACCUGUAAAAAUGGGGACUUUGAUGAUGUACACUUCAUAGGUUUUAAGGAGAGAGAUUUUUGCGUACAAAAGCUUCCUAAGGAAAACAAACCUGAGAACCAGGAAGGUUACUACUGAAGAGGAAUCUCCAAGUGAGGGGGGUUCUUUCCAGACAACCACAAAGGCUGAUGAUUCUCUGGCCUUAGCGUAGACAAAAGACACCAUUGAGGCAUUUGAGCAAGACUUUACUGACUGCUAUGUCAUAGGAAAAUACACAGAAAAAUACAGAUAGGGAAAUGCGCCAUUAAUCUGCACAGCAUGGCUUAUAAGAUCCCCCUGAUCCUUGGGGAUCACAAAACUGAUCCCAUUUAACUGGGCAUCCAGGUAAAAAGAGAUGCCACCAAGAGAAUUCCUCCCUCCUUACUGCUGGCCUUUUGCCAUCAAGGUAUCAAUUACCCCUGUCCCUGAGCCCCUUGCCCAGGAGUAAGUCCCUGUCUCUUCCAAAGCCCAAAGAGAGGAAAGCACAGCAGCACGCCUUAUCUUUUAAGUCAAGGUGGGGUUGACAAGGGUGAAUGUUUAAAGAAGGAAAGGAAGUUUUGUUUCUCUUCUUUCCUAAGGCCCUAUGCAUCCCUGUAGCCUGCCUACUCACCUAUCCAUUUGGCUGAUAAAGGGCCAAUUUUAUUAUUCUGGCAAAAUGUAACCUAAAAACCAGGAAAUAGUUGUCGCCCUGUUUUAUGUCUGUUUGAAGUGUGUGAAAUGGCCAGGUGUGGUGGCUCAUGCCUGUAAUCUCAGCACUUUGGGAGGCCAAGGCGGGCGGAUCACCUGAGGUCAGUUCAAGACCAGCCUGGCCAACAUGGUGAAACCCCGUCUCUACUAAAAAUACAAAAAUUAGCUGGGUGUGGUGCACGCCUGUAGUCCCAGCUACUCAGGAGGCUGAGGCAGGAGAAUGGCGUGAACCCAGGAGGUGGAGCUUGCAGUGAGCCGAGAUUGUGCCACUGCACUCCAGUCUGGGCGACAGAGCGAGACUCCAUCUCAAAAAAAAAAAAAAAAAAAAAAAAGAAGUUGAAUCUCUUCCUCACACCACACAGAAAAACGAAUUUAAAAUAAAUGUCCAUUACACACCAGACUAUUGAUAAAAUAAAAAUAAAAAAUAAAUAAAAUGAUGGACCAAAAUGUAAGAGUUAAAUCUAUAAAAUGGGAAAAAUGGAGUACAUCUUCAUGAUUUUGUAUUAGGCAAUGGCUUCUUAAAUAUGACUCCAGAAGAACAAGCAACAAAAGAAAAAAAGGAUGAAUUGAAAUUCAUCAAAAUUAAAAGCUUUAGUACAUCAAAGGACAUGAUCAGGAAAAUGAAAAGACACCCCACAGAAUGGGAGAAAAUAUUUGUAAAUCAUAUAUCCGAUAAGGGUCUAGUAUCCAGAAUAUACAGAUUUUUUCUUUUUCUUUUUUUUUUUUUUUUUGAGAUGGAGUUUCCCUCUUGUUGCCAGGCUGGAAUGCAAUGGCACGAUCUCAGCUCACCGCAACCUCCACCUCCUGGGUUCAAGCGAUUCUCCUGCCUCAGCCUCCCGAGUAGGUGGAAUUACAGAUAUGUGCCACCAUGCCUGGUUAAUUUUGUAUUUUUAGUAGAGAUGGUGUUUCUCCAUGUUGGUCAGGCUGGUCUCGAACUCCCGACCUCAGGUUAUCCACCCACCUUGGCCUCCCAAAGUGCUGAGAUUACAGGCAUGAGCCACCACGCCUGGGCCAAAAAAAAUUUAUAACUAAAAAAUGAAAGUUCUACUUGCUGUAGCUCUUGGGGGAAAAGAAAAACAAAAGACAAAUCACCCAGUCAAAAAAUGGGCAAAAUAUUUGAAUGGACAUUUCUUUAAGAAAUGUACACCAGUCACAGUGGCUCACACCUAUAAUCCCAGCACUUUGGGAGGCCGAGGUGGGUAGCUUACUUGAGUCCAGGAGUUUGGACCAGCCUGGGCAACAUGGCGAAACCCAUCUCUACAAAAAUUAGUGAGUGUGGUGGUGCUCAGCUGUGGUCCCAGCUACUCAGGCGGCUGAGGUGGGAGGAUGGCUUCAGGAGGUCGAGGCUGCAGUAGGCUGAGAUGGCCCCACUGCACUCCAGCCAGGGCAACAGUGUGAGACCCUGUCUCAAACAAACAUAUAUAUAUAUACACACAUACACAAAUGGAUAAGUACAUGAAAAAAUGUCCACUAGGAAAUACCAUUUUUAUCUACACUAAACUGGCUAAAAAUAAAAAGGCAGACCCAAGUGUUGACAAUAUAUGGAGAAAUUGGAACCCUGAUUCAUUGUUGGGGGGAUUGUAAAAUGGUACAGUCACUUUGGGAAUAGCCUGACAGUUCCUCAAAAGGUUAAACAAAGAAUUACAAUAUGGCUCAGCAAUUCCAGUCCUAGUAUAUACCCAAGAAAUGUGAAGCCAUAUGUCCAUGGAAAACCUUAUACACAAAUGUUCACAGCAGUAUUAUUCAUAAUAGCCAGAAAGGAGAGGAUCGCUUGAGCACAGGAGGUGGAGGUUGCAGUGAGCCAAGAUGGCGGCACUGCACUCCAGCCUGGGUGACAGAGUGAGACCCUGUCUCAAAAAAAAAAAAUUAGCCAGAAAGUAGAAGCAAUCCAAUUGUCCAUCAACUGAUGAAAGGCUAAACAAAAUGUAGCACAUCUUCUCUAGAAAAAAAAAAUUAGUCAUUUAUCUAUAAAAGGAUAAAGAAGUACUGAUACAUGCUACAAUCUGGAUUAAUCUUGAAAACUUUAUGCUUAGUGAAAGAAACGAGUCACAAAGGCCACAUGUCAUAUAAUUCAAUUUAUAUGAAAUGUCCAAAAUAGGCAAAUUCGUAGUGACUGAAAGUAGAUUAAUGGUUGCCAGGGGCUGGAAGCAAAGGAAGAAUGGGGAAUUUCUUCUAAUGAAUACAGGGUUUCUUUUGGGGUGAUGAAAUGUUCUAAAAUGACAGUGAUGUUGAGUUUACAACUCUGAUACACUAAAAACCACUGAGGUGUAAAAGGAUGAAUUUUAUGGUGUGUGAAUAAUAUGUCAAUAAAGCUGUUAUAAAAAAGAACUUAUCAUAUAGCAUUAAAAUUAUGUCUUCAUAUGUAUUUCUUCCUCUUACUAGAAUUAGACUACAUGGUAGGCAGCAAAUACUAACAAGAAAGAAAUUAAGAGACAAAAAAAGAAUAAAAAUGACAGAAGAAAAAAAUCAAACUAAAACAAAACAAAAAAAUAGAAUUAGACUAUGAGCUUUCUUCAUCCUUACACAUGGUUAGAUACUCAACGAACACAAUAAAUACUUGAUGAUCCAGUAAUUAAUUCAUUGAUCUAAUCUUUGAAAGAAGUUUAAGACAUUAACAGGCAGUUGGAAGGGAAGAUUAUUCUCUGCAAAGGCAGUGGCUGAGCACAGAGAAGGAAGGGCAGUAGGCUUGAGCAGCCAGCAGUUCUUGAUUGGCUAGGAGAAGCAGGGAAGGAAGCAGUACAGAUAAGGGUGUUAAGGGCUGUACUACCUACUAAAUUUGCUCCAUAUUUAAUUGUUGUUAAAUAUUGUUAAUUCAUAGUGCUUGGCUGACUAAAAAUAUUUUCAGAGAAAAUGACGAUUCAGUCUCUUUCCCCUGCACUUUUUCUUGUCUCCUUAGUGUAAUCAAAAGCUACAAGUGAGGCUGGGUGUGGUGGCUAACACCUAUAAUCCCAGCACUUUGGGAGGCCGAGGCAGGCGGAUCACUUGAGGUCAGGAGUUUGAGAGCAGCUUGGCCAACAUGGAGAAACCUCAUCUCUACUAAAAAUAUGAAAAUUAGACGAGGUGGUGGCGUGCGCCUGUAGUCUCAGCUGCUUGGGAGGCUGAGGCAGGAGAAUCACUUGAACCCGGGAGGCGGAGGUUGCAGGGAGCCAAGACUGUGCCACUGCACUCCAACCUGGGCAACAGAGCGAGACUCCAUCUCAAAAAAAAAAAAGCUACAAGUGAGAUUGUGCCAAUUGGAACAAAACAAGAAGUAAAAGUUUCAUCUCUGAUGGGCUCUGGCCAGCGCUGCCCCCCGGGCCUUCUGCUCUAGAAGCCCAUGGUGAUCCUCAUGUGCCAUUCACCUGGCUACUUGGCCCUAAUUUCACACAGUUCGAAGCCAGAAACCUGCUGUUUGAGCCUACCUUCCCAGAGUCCUUCCUUCUUUCAUGAAUUGAACAAACAUUCAUUGAACACCUGCUUUUUGCCAGAGAUUAUGUGAGGCAUGGGAUAUGGCAGCAAAUAAGUCAACUUUGCUGUCAAUAUAUGUCAUAGUAGUCAUUGUUGAGUUGAGGCAUUUCUAUUUGGCUAUUAGUAGCAUUGGUUUAGAAAGAGCCUCAAAACCCUCUCUAGUGGACUUCUUGUGAGAACACUACCUUAUAUUUGAAUAGAACUAUUCAAGGAUUUCACAUGCAAUAUUCCAUUUGAUACUAAAAUCUAUUUUAAAAAAAGAAGAGAGGGCAGGUAUUGUCUUCAUUUUGCAGAUGAGGCCAAUGAGAUUCGGAUAGGUUAAAUGAUUCCUUCGAGUUCACACAGCUAGUAAACAGCGAAGCCUGCUUGGGAACCCAGCUGCGACUUCUAAUUGGUUGCUUUUCCCGUUACCCCUUAUGGAGACCAGAAGAUCCAGCUUCUUAGGAGGCAGCUGCCUCUGUCUGUGUGUAAACAAUAAGGCAGCAAAAGACUGUUGGGUUUGCUCUUUUUAAAUUUUUAAUAAACCAUCACUGUGUUUAUUAUCAAUUUAAUAAACAAGCAACCAUCAAGAAGCAAAGUAAUGAACCCAGCAGAUAGGGACAUUGUGAAAAUAUGUUUCUAUGAGACUUGUAAGUGCACAGUUAGUGAGAACAGAAAUCAAAUUUUUAGCAAAAGAUGUAGUUCCUGACUGGUGGGGGCCACCCAGAACUCUCUCCUGGAGAUCCUUCUCAUUUACCUCAGCUGUGAGCCUCUGUGUGAAUGAUUUCCAAAUUCAGUUCAACAGGUGUUGAAUCAAUGACCUACAGAAUGUCCCACGCACUCAGAAUAUAAACAAGAAUGAAGCUCACCUCAGGUUUCAGAGCUCCCAGGCUGCAUUAGGAAAACAAAUAAUUAAAAUACAAUGUGUGCUGCUUAAGCACAGGAGUUUGAGAUCAACCUGGGCAACAUAGGGAGAAACCGUCUCUACAAAAAAUAAGAAAUUAGCCAGGUGUGGUAGAGAACGCCUGCGGGGGCUAACGUGGGAGGAUGGCUUGAGCCCAGGAGAGGUCGGGAGAGGUCGAGACUGUAGUGAGCCAUAUUGGUGCCAGUGCACCCUAGCCUGGCUGAGAGAGCAAGAACCCAUCUCAAAAACAAAACAAAACAAAACACCCCCCCCAAAAAAACCCACCACACACACAACAAAAUAAAACCAAUGUGGGCAUGGUGGCUCAAGCCUGUAAUCCUAGCACUUUGGGAGGCCAAGGUGGGUGGAUUACUUGAGCCCUGGUAUUUGAGACCAGCUUGGGCAACAUGGUGAGACCCUGUCUUGACAAAAAAUAAAAAAUUAGCCAGGCCUGGUGGCGCAUGCCUGUACUCCCAGAUACUUCGGAGGCUGAAGUGGGAGGAUCACUUGAGCCCAUGAGGUUGAGGCUGCAGUGAGCCAUGAUCAUGUCACUGCACCCCAGCCUGGGCAACAGAGUGAGACCCUGUCUCAAACAAAACAAAACAAACAAAAAACAACGAAUACAUCUCAUAAUGGGCAAGUGCUCUAACGAUGUAGAAGUUUUUCUAAAAAAUAAGGUGAGGAAGCACUUACGUGUAGUAAACAUUACUUUAUAAUUCUACAUCUGAAAUCGUAAAUCUUUCAAUCUCUAAGCUUUCCAGUUUCCUUAAUGAAAAUAAAUAACAUUUUUAUUUAAUACUUAUGAUGCAGUGGACAUUAUGCUAACUGCUUUACAGGUAGUAUAUCUCAUUUAAUCUUCAUAACAACCUUAUUUUUUUUUUUUUCAUUUUACAGAUCAAGAAUCUGAGGCUCAGGGAGGUUAAAUGACUUGUUCCAGGUCCCACAGCCAAGAAGUGGGAAGAGCCAAUUUGGUCUCCUAAGUGCAUCCUCUUAAUUGUGAUCCUGUAUGGCCUCUUUUUCUCCUAAUGCAAUGUUCUCUGAUCUUACCUCCAAACUUUGGCCUCUGUUUUCUCCGGUCUCUCAGCCGUCACCUAUCCUUCUCUGUCUAUCCUCCUACCAUGCCAGACCACUCACAGGUACCCCCUGGUGUGUGGUGUGGUAUCUCUUUGCCUUUGCACACAUGUUCCCUCUACCUGGAUGAGCCAAUCACAGAGCCACCAAACUCAUUUGUAAAUCUGGCCAAGUGAAAGAUGAAAAUGAGCCACAGUAGUAUACAGUAUAUUUGAAACAAUGGCCGGGCGCAGUGGCUCAUGCCUGUAAUCCCAGCACUUUGGGAGGCCGAGGUGGGUGGAUCACCUGAGGUCAGGAGUUUGAGAUCAGCCAGGCCAACAUGGCGAAACCCUGUCUCUACUAAAAAUACAAAAAAAUUAGCCAGCUGUUGUGGCGGUUGCCUAUAAUCCCGGCUACUCAUAAGGCUGAGGCAGGAGAAUCACUUGAACCCAGGGGUUGGAGGUUGCAGUGAGCCAAGAUUGCGCCACUACACUCCAGCCUAGGCGAAAGAGGGAAACUCCAUCUAAAAGAAAAAAAAAAAAAAGAAAAAGAAAGGAAACGUUAAUGUCAUUUCUAUAACACUGAAAAAAUUUAAGAGAUUACGGAAGUGGAAAACUUAUGGUAGCAUUUAUAAGUGAAAAGAUCUUAUUCAUAGAAUGUAGGAACACAUUCUAAGUGCAGUUGUAACAUUCACAUAAUUUCAUCCUGUAUUGUAGGACAAAGAUAUACACAGUUAAUACUUCAAGUUAUUAUUUCUAUAUAUGGCAUUCUUAGACUAUAACAAAACAAAAAUUUUAAUGUGUUUCAAUGCAAUGUCUUUAAAAAUAAGCAUAUGUAUGUGUGUGUAUGUGUGGCACAUAUAUAUGUAUAUAUACAUAUAGUCUCUUAAAACCUAAAUCAUAAAGCGAAUCUGGGUC